UACAGAGGUCUCAAGCGUUGUUCGGAUUCAUUGGGCGUAAAGGGUGCGUAGGCGGCGCGGUAAGUCGGGUGUGAAAUCUUGGAGCUUAACUCCGAAACUGCAUUCGAUACUGCGGUGCUUGAGGACUGGAGAGGAGACUGGAAUUCAUGGUGUAGCAGUGAAAUGCGUAGAGAUCAUGAGGAACACCAGUGGCGAAGGCGGCUCACUGGCCCGGUACUGACGCUGAGGUGCGAAAGCGUGGGGAGCAAACAGG
RNAcentral lists this ribosomal RNA (253 nucleotides) under uncultured bacterium. Its description in RNAcentral is "partial 16S ribosomal RNA". It matches the Rfam family "Bacterial small subunit ribosomal RNA", at positions 524 to 776 of the family's 1533-position model. The record is from RNAcentral.